AUUGAACGCUGGCGGCCGGCCUAACACAUGCAAGUCGAACGAGUGGCGGACGGGUGAGUAAUGUCUGGGAAACUGCCUGGUGGAGGGGGAUAACUACUGGAAACGGUAGCUAAUACCGCAUACCAUCAGAUGUGCCCAGAUGGGAUUCGCUUGUUGGUGGGGUAACGGCUCACCAAGGCGACGAUCCCUAGCUGGUCUGAGAGGAUGACCAGCCACCAUGGAACGUGGACACGGGCCUGACUCCGACGGGAGGCAGCAGUGUGGAAUAUUGCACAUGGGGCGCAAGCCUGAUGCAGCCAUGCAGCGUGUACGAAGAAGGCCUUCGGGUUGUAAAGUACUUUCAGCGGGGAGGCGUUACCCGCAGAAGAAGCACCGGCUAACUCCGUGCCAGCCGCCGCGGUAAUUC
This 406-nucleotide ribosomal RNA is filed under the name uncultured bacterium. Its description in RNAcentral is "partial 16S ribosomal RNA". It matches the Rfam family "Bacterial small subunit ribosomal RNA", at positions 30 to 526 of the family's 1533-position model. The record is from RNAcentral.